This 253-nucleotide ribosomal RNA is filed under the name uncultured bacterium. Its description in RNAcentral is "partial 16S ribosomal RNA". It matches the Rfam family "Bacterial small subunit ribosomal RNA", at positions 524 to 776 of the family's 1533-position model. The record is from RNAcentral.
UACGUAGGGUGCGAGCGUUGUCCGGAAUUACUGGGCGUAAAGAGCUCGUAGGUGGUUUGUCGCGUUGUUCGUGAAAACUCACAGCUCAACUGUGGGCGUGCGGGCGAUACGGGCAGACUGGAGUACUGCAGGGGAGACUGGAAUUCCUGGUGUAGCGGUGGAAUGCGCAGAUAUCAGGAGGAACACCGGUGGCGAAGGCGGCAUCCUGGACCAAUAUUGACGCUGAGGAGCGAAAGCCAGGGGAGCAAACGGG